AGUGAACGCUGGCGGUAGGCCUAACACAUGCAAGUCGAACGGCAGCACAGUAAGAGCUUGCUCUUACGGGUGGCGAGUGGCGGACGGGUGAGGAAUACAUCGGAAUCUACUUUUUCGUGGGGGAUAACGUAGGGAAACUUACGCUAAUACCGCAUACGACCUACGGGUGAAAGCAGGGGAUCUUCGGACCUUGCGCGAUUGAAUGAGCCGAUGUCGGAUUAGCUAGUUGGCGGGGUAAAGGCCCACCAAGGCGACGAUCCGUAGCUGGUCUGAGAGGAUGAUCAGACAAACUGGAACUGAGACACGGUCCAGACUCCUACGGGAGGCAGCAGUGGGGAAGAUUGGACAAUGGGCGCAAGCCUGAUCCAGCCAUACCGAGUGGGUGAAGAAGGCCUUCGGGUUGUAAAGCCCUUUUGUUGGGAAAGAAAAGCAGCAGGUUAAUACCCCGCUGUUCUGACGGUACCCAAAGAAUAAGCACCGGCUAACUUCGUG
This 492-nucleotide ribosomal RNA is filed under the name uncultured bacterium. RNAcentral describes it as "partial 16S ribosomal RNA". It matches the Rfam family "Bacterial small subunit ribosomal RNA", at positions 29 to 507 of the family's 1533-position model. The record is from RNAcentral.